Molecule: ribosomal RNA, 252 nt
Filed under: uncultured bacterium
Lineage: Bacteria
Description: partial 16S ribosomal RNA
Rfam family: Bacterial small subunit ribosomal RNA
Source: RNAcentral
UACGAAGGGGGCUAGCGUUGCUCGGAAUGACUGGGCGUAAAGGGCGCGUAGGCGGCUUGAUCAGUCAGGCGUGAAAUUCCUGGGCUCAACCUGGGGACUGCGCUUGAUACAGUUGGGCUAGAGUGGGGAAGAGGGUUGUGGAAUUCCCAGUGUAGAGGUGAAAUUCGUAGAUAUUGGGAAGAACACCGGUGGCGAAGGCGGCAACCUGGUCCUUGACUGACGCUGAGGCGCGAAAGCGUGGGGAGCAAACAG